Lucilia sericata (common green bottle fly) is the source of this 470-nucleotide long non-coding RNA. RefSeq lists it as uncharacterized. The record is from RefSeq and is a predicted model, not a curated record. Lineage: Eukaryota; Metazoa; Arthropoda; Insecta; Diptera; Calliphoridae. The transcript has 2 exons.
UAGUCAUUAACUAUUUCUGCAUUUUUAAUAAACUCAGUAUUUUCAGCAUUAGUAUAAAAGCAUGGAACAAUUUCAAAACUAUUAGUAUAAAAAAAAAGGAAAAAAUUCUGUAAAACCGGGAAAACCGGGAAAAACUUCUCCUUCUGUCAGUAAUGGUGGCCAUAAAGGAGGAUAUUACGGUAACGGGGGUCAUGGAAGUCAUUCCACUAAGGAAAAGGAAUCAGUUACUGUAGUCUAGAGUGAAAAAGACAACAAUUGUUGGCUUACCCCCCAUUUUACCACCUCCAGUUAUCGUUCAACCGGUAGUUAUUCUUCCAGUUUAGAAAAUUUUUGUAUGAGAACUGUUAAUAUAUUUUAAAGUUAAAAAAUAACUAGACAUGGUGAAAAUGGGGGUUAGUUAGUUUAAUAAGUGAUUUAAUAGUUUUUCAGAUUAUGAUCAAAUAUUGGAAAUAAAGUAAAUUUUAUGUUUU